Molecule: long non-coding RNA, 820 nt
Organism: Lactuca sativa (garden lettuce)
Lineage: Eukaryota; Viridiplantae; Streptophyta; Magnoliopsida; Asterales; Asteraceae
Source: RefSeq, a predicted model, not a curated record
CAGAAAGGGAAAAGGGGGCUCGAACGCAGCGACUAGGUGGUGACGUUCGAUCCAUCGCGAGAAGGAGAGGGAAACCCGUUCUCCGGCGACUCCACUGCGAGGAGGACCAAUGGCGAAGCGAUGACAGAAGGGAGCGAGAGGGAAGCUCGCAGGUGCGUUGUCCGCUAUUCUGAAUGUCGUGACCUAUCGAGAUCGUCUCCGGAGUUCGAAGAGGCCGAAGAGAUGGAGGGAAGAGGGGAGGCAGCGAGGCUUCUUCUUCUCGUCCGACUGCGGGGUGUGAAGGGGGAAAAGAAACGGGUCCACCUGGAGGGAUGCGAGUAGCAGUAGCGACGAGUCUAGAUUUUUGGGAGGGAGGAGCACCUCCGGUGCUUCACUGGUUCGUAGAGAAGGGAAAAAAAAUGAAAGUAGCAAGGACUGCUUAAGUAACUCUCGUGCUUCUUCUGUCUCGGAUGGAAGGUGCGAGUGUGAGGAAAUCAAAAGGGGCUAUCGGCGCCUUCUGAGUGGUGGCGAGGGAAGUUCAAUCGUGGCUGUUUGUUGAUUCGGGAAAGGUAGCAGCUAUCAACACAGGGGAAGAGGCAACAUCGAAUGGGAAAGAUUGAGUGUGGGGAUGUGGAGGUGGCGGCAGCCACCCUCACACCCGAAGACCGGGUGAAAACCAUUUUUUAAGUCAAAACCGCUUUGACUAAUCUAACACAUAUGAUUACGAACAGUAUAAUAGAUUUUACACUUAUGGUGCCUUGUGUUAUGUAAUAACUUUGAUUUUCAUUUUUUCUUGCUUUUAAAUAUAAAUAAUCAAUCGUAUAUUAACAAAUUUUACAUA